RNAcentral lists this long non-coding RNA (714 nucleotides) under Bos mutus (wild yak). RNAcentral describes it as "lncRNA (ENSBMUG00000026837.1)". The record is from RNAcentral. Lineage: Eukaryota; Metazoa; Chordata; Mammalia; Artiodactyla; Bovidae.
GGGUCUCACAACAAACAUCCUUUUUAUUUGACCCAUCACAAGGCAUUUCACAAAAUCUUUAUUUGGUGUAAUGUAACUUUAGAAUUUCUCAGUUUAAAAGAUAACUGCUAUGUUACUAAUUUACGUAGAGUGGUAGAGAGGAUUAUUGACUAUUUGCAGAAUGAAGAGUUCAGAGAGGAAAUAAAUGAAGAAGUGAAAUGACGAAGACGAUAAAGGAGCAAGGAAUUUUUAUUUGGUGAGGACUAGAAAUGCGAGGAUGCCUGUACAAUAAAUAAUUAUUAUAGAACCAAUUGUUCUGUUGAUUUUUAAAAUAAUUUCUUGCAUUUUUCUGAUCUGAUUUGUAUCCUAUGUGAUGUUUUGUUGCAGGUCAAAGGCUAGAACAAGUUAUCAUACUUACAGGGAGGAAAGAAGGACUGAAAUGAGGGCCUCUACUUCAGAGAACAGGGGUGAAGUUGCCAGGCAUGACUGUCCGUCACCCAGGAGACGAAGCCCCGCCAAUGAGGUGGUGAAUCGAGGUGCAGGGGAGUCUGACGAGAAAUGUGGUGGGCCCAGGUUGCUGCCAGUUCUUUUGGAAUCACCAAGCACAUGGAGAAGUUGCCUAAUAUGACUGCCCAUCACCCAGGAGAUGAAGCCGAGCCAGUGAGGCAGUUACUUGAGGUGCGGAGGAGUCCGGCGAGAAGUGUGGCGGGCACAGGUUGCUGCUACUGCUUUUUG